RNAcentral lists this long non-coding RNA (3943 nucleotides) under Homo sapiens (human). RNAcentral's name for it is "HSALNT0398016". The record is from RNAcentral. Lineage: Eukaryota; Metazoa; Chordata; Mammalia; Primates; Hominidae.
AGAAACAAGGGAGCCACUAGCCCGGGAUUGCCCCAUCACAUGAAGCCACGGCUGUGUCUGCAGGGAUUAUCCAUGGCCCAGGGCCUAAAAUUCGCAUCCACCUUAGUGACUACAGACACUGCCGGUCUAACCAGGGGCAGCCUCCUGACAAGAUUUUACUAAAUGGCACUCUGCUAUAUCCAUCAGGAGAACCACAGCUUCUCCACACGUUGUCACCCAUUUGCUUUGCUAACAGAAAUGGUAUCUUGCCCUGGUCUCCAUAGCUCACCUUGGCUCAACCUUGGGACAGUGAAAGAAAAAGUCAAUACAUGGCACCUCCAUGGGGAAAAUAAAUGGGAAAUGUCACUCCUCACUCUAAGGAGGAGUGGAGUUCACCCUCUGUGGAUGCCUUCCCUAUUAGGAUUCCAGAAACACACCUAGCCCUUGCCCUAGAUGGAGAAUCCCCCUUCUCAUGGGGUAGACCACCUUGGGAGCACAUUACAGGUUCCUACUCGGUAACAAUUUGGGGAGAACAACAUGGCAGCACUCUACAGCAGCAACACAGCAGCACACAGUGGAGCAACUGAAUUGCACUGAACAGAACGGCCUCACCAGUGAGGCAGCCACACCGGCGAGGAUGUUAAAAGCCUCAGCAGCUCCGAGAUAUCUUGUGCUAAACAGAAGAGGUAGUCUAUUGUGCCGACUACACCAAUUUCUUAAAUUUGCGAUCUUUAAGAUGCAGAGCUCUUGCCAAUGAUUGCGAGAGACAUAAGAUGAAAAUAAAGAUUUAUUACUUACAGGUCCUGGGGGAUACAGGCCCUGUCUGGAGGACACACACACACACACACACACAUACACCCACACCCACACACACACACAGAGGUCAGGGGCAGUAUGGGGAGGACAGAGGGGGAACCCAUGGGUCAAGGCCUUUAUUAGGGUACAGAAUAUUAUUCAAACAGAUUGUCCUCAGGGAGUUUUAAUUGGUGGAUUUAAUGCAAGCAGACAUGAGAUCCAGGUAAUUAGAGGUGGUCACUGCAGCAGGCAGGGUGUGGGGUCAGUGGGGCAGUCAUACGGGCUGUAUCCGGAAGUCCCAUAGGGAGGAGGUCACCAGGAGGCAGUUGUAUAAAUCAGAUAUCUGAUCAAUCACACUGAGGAACUGGAAGGAGGUGGAGAACUGGAAACUAUUUCAAAGGUGACUGAGCCCUGCUUCUGGUAUGAGAAAGUCCAACUUCCAUCCAAAACGGAUGCCAAGGCAUUGUAAAAUUGUAAGCAUUCACAAAUACUUUCGAUGCAUUCUUAUUUAGCUGACUUCUAGUUUUUACAGCCCAAAUAUCAUCAUUUUUCAUUCUUAUUUGGCAACAUUCUGUUAGGUGCAGCAUGUAUGGAGGGCACCUCCUUUAUUAAUACAUGUGGAUUUGCUCUAAUUGUGGUUUUUUCAUUGGUUCCAUUGCAUGGCUACACUAUGAUCUUUUACCCACACCCCUGUUGCUGGAUUUGAGGCUGCUCGUCACUUGUCACAUUGACAUGACCUUCUGCAGUGAACAUCCUCAUACACACAUCUCUACCAUGUGGAGUACUGUUCCUGGAGCUCAUUCCUUCAACAUGUAUUUAUGAAGUACCCUGUGCUGGGCUAUUGGCUGGUCUCUGGCUUUAGCAGAGACAGAACAGGCAAGCUUGGCCUUCUCAGAGCUCACAGCACAGGGAGGCCUUCAGAAGUAGGAUAGUGGUCAGAGCGUGUGCGCGUUAAACAUGGUGAGGUCAAUGUUGCUGUAGGGACUAAACUGCAGUCCCAUCAGAAGUAUAUGGGAAUGUCCAUCUCCAUGUCCUCACCUUUCUUGGCAUAAUUAUUUGAGUACUGCAUGUGUUCCUGUGUCCUAUUCUUUGCCCACACAUCAUCCAUAUUUACCCUCUUAACCGUCCAUCCUCCACCUUGUCCCUAAGUGCUGUUGUUAAUAGCCCUGUGGUAGACCAGAUGCCAGGAGCCCUGAGAUAUCCUAAGCAGCUCCCUCUGCCAGUCCUUCCAAGAGUUCUGGUUCCACAGGUGACACACCUGAACACAGGUAACCCCUGCAAAAUCUGUGAUUACCACGCAAGGCUGACAGUGAGUGGUGGGUGUUCUAGGAGGGGCCACCACCUCCAUAUGCAGGGUCAGAGAACACUGAGUGGAGCAGGAGGCUGAUGACUUUGACCACAAGGUAGGUGGAUGGGUAUGUUUGGCUUUAUAGGGAAGGGAAGGGAAGACAAGGGAAGACGAAGGGAUAGGGGUGGGGAGGGGAAGGGGAGGGGAAGGGGGAGGGGAAAAGGGAAGGGGAAGGGGAAGGGAAAGUUUGGGCAUUGCAGGCAACAUCACAAAGGUUGGAACCUGCCUCUGGGGUACAAGAACAGCAAGGAGGCCACCCAGGAUGCAGCUGAGGACGGAAGACAUGGGGAGCAGUGGAUCUAGGGGAGAAGCAGACUGUGAUUGACCUUGGGGGCUGGGCGGUGAACAGAGGUGUGUUAUGUGUGUCUGUCCCAGUCACAGAUAUGAGGAGGAGUGGGGCCGCAAGUGGCACCUGGUUCGGUGGGAUUUCCUAAUACCUGCUGUUCAUCAGAGCCUCUCCAUGUAGCAUGUCAGUAUAGAUCUGAGGCUGUGUCUGGGAGGGGGAGCUGGUGGUCCAAGGCAGCCUGUGGUGCUUACUGUCCCUAGGGGUGGGAGGAGAGGGAUGAGGACACCCCUGCGCAGUGAAGCCUCAGGUGUGUGGAGCCACAGGUAUCUCACCUGGUGAUUCUUGUCAGACACGUGCCUUGGGUGAGGAUGUCAGGGUGAGAGUCACUGUCAUUUUUCUUAAAAUGUACAUGGCAUGGACCCAGGUAUUCAGGGACCCAGAGAACAAGGCCCCUGGUGAGAGAGGGUUGCAUGGAGCUGAGCAGUUUCAUGUGCUCAGAGUGGGAGGGACUCCUGAAAAGACAAAGCCUCAAUCCUACCUGUCAGGAGCCAUGCCUAUUUCCAGGAGAGAUGACAAGGGUGACCCAGGACAGACAUUGAGUGUGAGGACAGGACAGAGAGGACCCUGGUGGCUUCUCAGGUGUGGGAAUGUGAGGUGGGGUUUGUUCCCAUCCAAAGCACAGAAGCCCUCCAUUGUACCCUGAGUGCUGUGUGUGACUAGCAGGGACACUGGAUGGGUUGGACCUGUGCCUCUUGAAGGCAGGGCUGGAUCUGUAGGACCAGAGAUGCCUCUGUGGGUAAGAGGUGAUGGGAAUGAGGAAGAUGGGGGUGACUGUGAACCUAUUUUAGUUCCCUGGGGAUGUGUGCUGAAGAGGAAGUGGCCUAGAACAUUCCUUUUCUGGGUAAAGUGAAGCGGGGAAGCAGUGUGGAUUCUUUUUGUUUUGUUUUGUUUUUAGAUGGAGCCUCACUCUAUCUCCCAGGCUGGAGUGCAGUGGUGCGAUCUCAGCUCACUGCAACUUGUGUCUCCCAGGUUCAGGCAAUUCUCCUGCCUCAGCCUCCCGAACAGCCAGGACUACAGGCAUGAGCCACCAGGCCCGGCUAAAUUUUUUGUAUUUUUAGUAGAGAUGGGGUUUCACCAUGUUGGUCAGGCUGGUCUCGAACACCUGUCCUCAAGUGAUCUGCCUGCCUCAGCCUCCAAAAGUGCUGGGACUACAGGCGUGAGCCACUGCUCUCGGCCGCGGUGUGGAUUCUUCAGUGUGUUCUGAUAGCCAUGUGUCACUACACACUUGUUCUUUAUGUCUUCACAUCUCAUCCUGUUGCAUUUUAAAGCAUGUUCAUAGUAUGCAGUUUUGCCUAAUAAAGCAUUCUCAUAUAUACAUACAUAUAGAUAGAUGAUAGAUAGAUAGAUAGAUAGAUAGAUAGAUAGAUAGAUAGAUAGAUAGAUAGAUAGAUAUUCAGACAGAUCUUCAGGCCCCACUUGUCCCUGAGGAGGAUUAUUUGCCUAUGGAAAGAACAAGCAGAUGGCAAAGGCCUCUG